RNAcentral lists this ribosomal RNA (500 nucleotides) under uncultured bacterium. RNAcentral's name for it is "partial 16S ribosomal RNA". It matches the Rfam family "Bacterial small subunit ribosomal RNA", at positions 28 to 507 of the family's 1533-position model. The record is from RNAcentral.
GACGAACGCUGGCGACGUGCUUAACACAUGCAAGUCGAACGGGUCUGCCCUGUUUUUUGCGGGGUGGGUCAGUGGCGAACGGGUGAGUAACACGUGAGUAACCUGCCCCUCACUUCUGGAUAACCGCUUGAAAGGGUGGCUAAUACGGGGUGUUCUGGCUGUGCCGCAUGGUGUGGCUGGGAAAGAUUCACUUUUGUGGUGUUUUGGUGGGGGAUGGGCUCGCGGCCUAUCAGCUUGUUGGUGGGGUGAUGGCCUGCCAAGGCUUUGACGGGUAGCCGGCCUGAGAGGGUGGGCGGUCACACUGGGACUGAGAUACGGCCCAGACUCCUGCGGGAGGCAGCAGUGGGGGGUAUUGCACAAUGGGCGGAAGCCUGAUGCAGCGACGUCGCGUGAGGGAUGGAGGCCUUCGGGUUGUGAACCUCUUUCGCCGGUGAAGAAGGUCCUGCUCUUUGUGGUGGGGUUGACGGUAGCCGGGUUAUGAAGCGCCGGCUAACUACGUG